AUAUUUGACAAACCAAAAUACAAUUGCAAUCCCUUAAAAUGAGCAAAACGCACCUAAAUACAUUUCUUAUCAGUUCACUAAAUCUUAUUUCUCCUAUAUUUGAACUAGAUUUUGAUAACUAUUUAAAACAAAAAUUUGUUUGACAAACUAAAAUAUAAUUGCAAUCCCGUAAAAUAUUUAUUUAAAUUAGCGGUGUACCGCGGAUUUUUUUUAACGGGACGGGUUUGGCGGAACGGGUUUGGAAGGAUAUUACUUAAUAACAAUUGUAAACUAAAAAAU
RNAcentral lists this small RNA (279 nucleotides) under Arabidopsis thaliana (thale cress). Its description in RNAcentral is "ATSL053440". Lineage: Eukaryota; Viridiplantae; Streptophyta; Magnoliopsida; Brassicales; Brassicaceae. The record is from RNAcentral.